AGAAGCAGGCUGAUAGGAGAGGAGGGUUCUGUGGGCCUCCUGAGCAGACACGAUCAACAUUGAGGAUCAGCGUCAUCAAGGGUGCUGAAGGCUCAGAACAGCUCCAGGUGUGAAGGCUUCAUGCCCAGCGUGGAGCCCAAUGUGGGAUUUGAACUCAUGACCCUGAGAUCAAGAUCUGCGCUGAGAUCAAGAGUCUGACACUUAACUGACUGAGCCACCCAGACCCCUUCUUCAGAUUUUUAAAACUACAGAAAUUGAGAAGGGAGGUAAAGAAAGGCAGAGAGAAAGAGAAAACCGACUUUCUGAGGGGAAGACAUUCUAACAGAAUAGAGAUACUGAAUGAGCUGAUGACUCCUAGGAAGAAUGUCUGUGCAGUUCACACCUAACUGCAACAUAUUACCCUGGCUGCCAGGUAGGCUGAGAAGACAUGAGUUCGCACAAAGCAUUGAUCUUGAUCUUCGUUGACAAGUGAAU
Molecule: long non-coding RNA, 474 nt
Organism: Neofelis nebulosa (Clouded leopard)
Lineage: Eukaryota; Metazoa; Chordata; Mammalia; Carnivora; Felidae
Exons: 3
Source: RefSeq, a predicted model, not a curated record